Molecule: ribosomal RNA, 497 nt
Filed under: uncultured bacterium
Lineage: Bacteria
Description: partial 16S ribosomal RNA
Rfam family: Bacterial small subunit ribosomal RNA
Source: RNAcentral
GAUGAACGCUGGCGGCGUGCCUAAUACAUGCGAGUCGAGCGAACAGACGAGGAGCUUUCUCCUCUGACGUUAGCGGCGGACGGGUGAGUAACACGUAGAUAACCUUCCUAUAAGACUUGGAUAACUUCGUGAAACCGCAGCUAAUACCGGAUCAUAUAUUGAACCGCAUGGUUCAAUAGUGCAACACGGUUUUCCUGUCUCUUAUAGAUGGAUCCGCGUCGCAUUAGCUAGUUGGUAAGGUAACGGCUUACCAAGGCAACGAUGCGUAGCCGACCUGAGAGGGUGAUCGGACACACUGGAACUGAGACACGGUCCAGACUCCUACGGGAGGCAGCAGUAGGGAAUCUUCCGCAAUGGGCGAAAGCCUGACGGAGCAACGCCGCGUGAGUGAUGAAGGUCUUCGGAUCGUAAAACUCUGUUGUUAGGGAAGAACAAAUGUGUAAGUAACUAUGCACGUCUUGACGGUACCUAAUCAGAAAGCCACGGCUAACUACGUG